RNAcentral lists this transfer RNA (78 nucleotides) under Patescibacteria group bacterium. Its description in RNAcentral is "tRNA-Tyr". It matches the Rfam family "tRNA". From Rfam's summary of the family: Transfer RNA (tRNA) molecules are approximately 80 nucleotides in length. Their secondary structure includes four short double-helical elements and three loops (D, anti-codon, and T loops). The record is from RNAcentral.
CCCGGGGUAGCUCAGUUGGUUUAGAGCGGCGGUCUGUAAAACCGCAUGUCGGGAGUUCGAAUCUCUCCCCCGGGACCA